This 619-nucleotide ribosomal RNA is filed under the name Trichoderma harzianum. RNAcentral's name for it is "eukaryotic LSU rRNA". The stretch from base 232 to 385 matches the Rfam family "5.8S ribosomal RNA". The record is from RNAcentral. Lineage: Eukaryota; Fungi; Ascomycota; Sordariomycetes; Hypocreales; Hypocreaceae.
UCCGUAGGUGAACCUGCGGAGGGAUCAUUACCGAGUUUACAACUCCCAAACCCAAUGUGCAACGUUACCAAACUGUUGCCUCGGCGGGAUCUCUGCCCCGGGUGCGUCGCAGCCCCGGACCAAGGCGCCCGCCGGAGGACCAACCAAAACUCUUUUUGUAUACCCCCUCGCGGGUUUUUUAUAAUCUGAGCCUUCUCGGCGCCUCUCGUAGGCGUUUCGAAAAUGAAUCAAAACUUUCAACAACGGAUCUCUUGGUUCUGGCAUCGAUGAAGAACGCAGCGAAAUGCGAUAAGUAAUGUGAAUUGCAGAAUUCAGUGAAUCAUCGAAUCUUUGAACGCACAUUGCGCCCGCCAGUAUUCUGGCGGGCAUGCCUGUCCGAGCGUCAUUUCAACCCUCGAACCCCUCCGGGGGGUCGGCGUUGGGGAUCGGCCCUGCCUUGGCGGUGGCCGUCUCCGAAAUACAGUGGCGGUCUCGCCGCAGCCUCUCCUGCGCAGUAGUUUGCACACUCGCAUCGGGAGGGCGGCGCGUCCACAGCCGUUAAACACCCAACUUGUGAAAUGUUGACCUCGGAUCAGGUAGGAAUACCCGCUGAACUUAAGCAUAUCAAUAAGCGGAGGAA